RNAcentral lists this ribosomal RNA (635 nucleotides) under uncultured Haemophilus sp. Its description in RNAcentral is "bacterial SSU rRNA". It matches the Rfam family "Bacterial small subunit ribosomal RNA", at positions 129 to 758 of the family's 1533-position model. The record is from RNAcentral. Lineage: Bacteria; Pseudomonadati; Pseudomonadota; Gammaproteobacteria; Pasteurellales; Pasteurellaceae.
GCUUAUGGAGGGGGAUAACUACGGGAAACUGUAGCUAAUACCGCGUAAUAUCGAAAGAUUAAAGUGUGGGACCUUCGGGCCACAUGCCAUAGGAUGAGCCCAAGUGGGAUUAGGUAGUUGGUGAGGUAAAGGCUCACCAAGCCGACGAUCUCUAGCUGGUCUGAGAGGAUGACCAGCCACACUGGGACUGAGACACGGCCCAGACUCCUACGGGAGGCAGCAGUGGGGAAUAUUGCGCAAUGGGGGGCAACCCUGACGCAGCCAUGCCGCGUGAAUGAAGAANNNCUUCGGGUUGUAAAGUUCUUUCGGUAGCGAGGAAGNNGGUUAGUUUAAUAGGCUAGCCAAUUGACGUUAACUACAGAAGAAGCACCGGCUAACUCCGUGCCAGCAGCCGCGGUAAUACGGAGGGUGCGAGCGUUAAUCGGAAUAACCGGGCGUAAAGGGCACGCAGGCGGACUUUUAAGUGAGGUGUGAAAGCCCCGGGCUUAACCUGGGAAUUGCAUUUCAGACUGGGAGUCUAGAGUACUUUAGGGAGGGGUAGAAUUCCACGUGUAGCGGUGAAAUGCGUAGAGAUGUGGAGGAAUACCGAAGGCGAAGGCAGCCCCUUGGGGAUGUACUGACGCUCAUGUGCGAAA